Helianthus annuus (common sunflower) is the source of this 335-nucleotide long non-coding RNA. RefSeq lists it as uncharacterized. The transcript is spliced from 4 exons. NCBI's taxonomy places the organism in Eukaryota, Viridiplantae, Streptophyta, Magnoliopsida, Asterales, Asteraceae. The record is from RefSeq and is a predicted model, not a curated record.
GGGGGAACCCUAAUUGCAUCAAUCAACCUCAAAAAUUCAGCAAGAUUGUGAAGGAUUAGAGUCAUAAUUCGCAUGCUAGUGUCUAAAUACUCUCUAAUCCAAGUGUUUUGAACAUAAGGAUCGAAAGAAGAAGGAGCUAGUUCCGGAUCACAAACAAAGGCACAAGAUCGAGGAUCGAAAGAAGAAGGAGCUAGUUCCGGAUCACAAACAAAGGCACAAGAUCGAGGUAAAGCACCCGUAUGAUGGUCAUUGCGUCGCUCGGAUACGAACACACCUUGAUCACCCGUGAUGCGCUUCCGCACUUUUGUAGUAGCCUUAUUAGUCAAAGACUUUUG